This 253-nucleotide ribosomal RNA is filed under the name uncultured bacterium. RNAcentral's name for it is "partial 16S ribosomal RNA". It matches the Rfam family "Bacterial small subunit ribosomal RNA", at positions 524 to 776 of the family's 1533-position model. The record is from RNAcentral.
UACGAAGGUGGCAAGCGUUGUUCGGAUUUACUGGGCGUACAGGGAGCGUAGGCGGUUGGGUAAGCCCUCCGUGAAAUCUCAAGGCUUAACCUGGAAAGUGCAGAGGGGACUGCUCGGCUAGAGGAUGGGAGAGGAGCGCGGAAUUCCAGGUGUAGCGGUGAAAUGCGUAGAGAUCGGGAGGAAGGCCGGUGGCGAAGGCGGCGCUCUGGAACAUUUCUGACGCUGAGGCUAGAAAGCGUGGGGAGCAAACAGG